Long non-coding RNA from Arachis duranensis, 1130 nucleotides. RefSeq lists it as uncharacterized. The transcript is spliced from 4 exons. The record is from RefSeq and is a predicted model, not a curated record. Lineage: Eukaryota; Viridiplantae; Streptophyta; Magnoliopsida; Fabales; Fabaceae.
UUUAUCUUCCUAAUUAUUUUAUAAAAUUACCUAAACUACCCCCAAACCCUAACACUACACUCAUCUCUCUCACCCAACCCCUUCAUCCUCGGUCACACACUCAACACACACAAAUUGAACCUAACCUAGAAGCAGCUAAGAAAGAAAGAAAAGAAGAAAGAAAGGGGAAGAGAGGAGGGGGGAUCCGUGAGAGGGAGAGCGCCGGGUAAGAGGGAGGAGCCGUCGCACCACCGCAGCGCUGCUCAGAACGCCACCUUGCCACCGCGACCAGUCGCUGCCGCGUCGCCGUGCUGCACAGAGGAGGGAGAAAGUGCGAAGAAUAGAGGGAAGAGAGAAGAAGAACACGCGCCAGGGAGCUCAGUUGCGGGGAGAGGAGACGUGUGGCUGACCCGUCGUUGCCGGUCCGUAUAGCUCGACCAGCUGCCGUCGCCGUCUCUGUCCUAAACCAUCGCCAGAUCCGCCGCUGUCACCGGGAAAGGGAGCCAAUGCAAGGAGAGCCGCGCGUGGAGGAGAGAGAGAGAGAGAUCCGAGAGUGAGCUGGUUCCUCCUCACUGCCGAUCUGUCCAGCCGCCGUCGUACCCUCCGUUGCCGCCGUUGGUGAUGGGUGGCCGAGCCUUCGCCACCGAGAAACGCCACCUCCGUUACCUACGACCACCGUCGUUGCUGCCGCUGCAAACCAGUCGCUGCUUCCGUAUGAGGUGGAUGCCGAGGCCGCCAAACUAGUUCAGAGAUUGCCGCUAUUUCGUCUUCGUAUUGCAAAUUAGAAAUCGAGUGUUGCAUGUCGCGAUUGAGGCUGUUCUGCUAUUGAGAAAGCAAGCGGAGCUGAGAUUUCGGUUGCGGUUGAAUUCAGGCUGAGCGAAAAGAGUUUAGUUGACACGUUUGGUUUAUGGUUUUGCUUAUCGAGGAACCGGAAGAAGAAGCAUUAAGAGGAGUUAUACUAUGUUUGAUUUAUAUAUUGUUGAAUUAAAUAGAUUAUUUUCUUCCCUCGCCUUUGUUAUUACAAUUUUGUAAGAGGGAUAGAAGUUGUAUGUUUUAUAUAUAUUAUAUUAUAAGAUAUUAUGUAAAAAGUCUUGUAUUUGAAUAUGUGUGUUUGUUUUUUAUAAAGUUUUUAUUUCCAGUUUUCAAAGAAA